UCGAAGGAGACGGUGCGGUAUCCUCGGAUC
RNAcentral lists this small RNA (30 nucleotides) under Bombyx mori (domestic silkworm). RNAcentral's name for it is "ovarian small RNA-2069". Lineage: Eukaryota; Metazoa; Arthropoda; Insecta; Lepidoptera; Bombycidae. The record is from RNAcentral.